This is a non-coding RNA of Canis lupus familiaris (dog), 73 nucleotides long. NCBI's taxonomy places the organism in Eukaryota, Metazoa, Chordata, Mammalia, Carnivora, Canidae. The record is from Rfam.
ACCUGGCUGGCUCAUUUGGUAGAGUGUGUGACUAUCAAUCUCAGGAUCAUGAGUUCAAGCCUCAUGUUGGGCA